AUUGAACGCUGGCGGCAUGCCUUACACAUGCAAGUCGAACGGCAGCACGGGUGCUUGCACCUGGUGGCGAGUGGCGAACGGGUGAGUAAUACAUCGGAACGUACCUUAUCGUGGGGGAUAACGCAGCGAAAGCUGUGCUAAUACCGCAUACGCCCUGAGGGGGAAAGCGGGGGAUCGCAAGACCUCGCGCGAUUAGAGCGGCCGAUGCCUGAUUAGCUUGUUGGUGGGGUAAAAGCCCACCAAGGCGACGAUCAGUAGCUGGUCUGAGAGGACGAUCAGCCACACUGGGACUGAGCCGCGGCCCAGACUCCUACGGGAGGCAGCAGUGGGGAAUUUUGGACAAUGGGGGCAACCCUGAUCCAGCAAUGCCGCGUGAGUGAAGAAGGCCUUCGGGUUAUAAAGCUCUUUUGUCAGGGAAGAAACACCGGCUCUAACACAGUCCGGGAAUGACGGUACCUGAAGAAUAAGCACCGGCUAACUACGUGCCAGCAGCCGCCGUAA
This 501-nucleotide ribosomal RNA is filed under the name uncultured bacterium. Its description in RNAcentral is "partial 16S ribosomal RNA". It matches the Rfam family "Bacterial small subunit ribosomal RNA", at positions 29 to 523 of the family's 1533-position model. The record is from RNAcentral.